AGGUGGACCGAAUAACAGGAUUUGAAACAUGUGUGGUGUACCUGGAUAGUCAUGGGUUGAUUUGGUUACAACCACCAGGGGCGAUGCUUUGCACCUCUGCAGAAUGGGCUCCACCUGUGAGAUCCUUCCUCCUCUGUAAGCCACGCCUGUGAAUCUGCUACAAAUGGGAAGAGUUGCCAGAUGCAGAAUCUCUGUUUCAGCUUAUAGCUAGAGACUUGGCCUGGGACCACUUAGCAUGGUUGUACCAACAUCUGAAGUUUAAGCAGGAACCACAAUGAGCAGAUGAUCCUGCACACUGAAUCACUCUACUUCAAAGAUGAAGCCUCACAGUGCUGUGCCAACUCUCACUUUUUCCACAUUACAUAAUCUUCUUCUCUUAUCCAGCAUUUCCAUGCAGCCAUCACAUUCUUGCUAUGCACCCUAUUUGGAAUUAAACUUAGGAUUGUCCUGCCUCAGCCUGCAAGCUUGUGUCCACACACUCAUGUCCCCUGUUGUGGCUAACAUUUUUCAGUGUUAAAAACUUUACAUACAUUGUGGAACUCCGGAAGAAAGUUAGUACUUUCCCAGUUUUGUGCAUAAUAGAAUCAAAUUCAGAGGGAGGAUUUUCUUUUUCCUGCUCAAGCUGUUCACUGAUGAAUGGCAAAACUGGAGGACAUGCCCAGUGUUUUGACC
RNAcentral lists this long non-coding RNA (672 nucleotides) under Mus musculus (house mouse). RNAcentral describes it as "predicted gene, 50397". Lineage: Eukaryota; Metazoa; Chordata; Mammalia; Rodentia; Muridae. The record is from RNAcentral.